ACGCAUAGGGAGCCACACUGUGAGCUGGAUGAAGAUCUGUCCUUCUGUUUGUUUCUGUUAAGAAGAGCUACUGCUCAGAAAGUGACUCGGGCAUUACAGCUGCACCACCUUAGAUGACUGCUUACAGCAAGACUCAUUAACAACCCAGGGCACUGACAUCUCUGACCAUUAUGUCAGCAACCAACCACUCAGUAUGGGCACCUCUUCAGUUUUACUGAAUGCAGGAUUAAAAAGAUAAGGAGGCUGCAGAGCUCAGAAUCCUCAGAACUCGACCUGCCCUGACAGCGUCUGUGCCACCAUGGGAACCCGAGGUGACGUGUAUCCAUUGGGGCUCUGCAUCGCCCUGUGCCUGUGGGGCACCGGGGCCCAGAAUCAUGGCGUACAAGGUACCACUGGGGACUGCAACAGCCAUAUGCUGUGCCCAGCAAACGCCAAGUGUGUGAACAGCACCCACUGCACCUGCCUGGAUGGAUACCAGCCAAAGGGGAAUCGCUUCUUCACCGACCCAACAGAGCUCU
Long non-coding RNA from Mauremys mutica (yellowpond turtle), 518 nucleotides. RefSeq lists it as uncharacterized. The record is from RefSeq and is a predicted model, not a curated record. Lineage: Eukaryota; Metazoa; Chordata; Testudines; Geoemydidae. The transcript is spliced from 4 exons.